UACGAAGGGGGCUAGCGUUGCUCGGAAUCACUGGGCGUAAAGCGCACGUAGGCGGCCUGUUAAGUCGGACGUGAAAUCCCUCGGCUCAACCGGGGAACUGCGUCUGAUACUGGCGGGCUUGAAUUCGGGAGAGGGAUGUGGAAUUCCAGGUGUAGCGGUGAAAUGCGUAGAUAUCUGGAGGAACACCGGUGGCGAAGGCGGCAUCCUGGACCGACAUUGACGCUGAGGCGCGAAAGCCAGGGGAGCAAACGGG
RNAcentral lists this ribosomal RNA (253 nucleotides) under uncultured bacterium. Its description in RNAcentral is "partial 16S ribosomal RNA". It matches the Rfam family "Bacterial small subunit ribosomal RNA", at positions 524 to 776 of the family's 1533-position model. The record is from RNAcentral.